AGCGAAUGUUUGCGGCGGGCUUAACACAUGCAAGUCGAACGGGCUGUUCCUUCGGGGGCAGUCAGUGGCGCACGGGUGCGUAACACGUAGGUAAUCAACCCUCUGGUUGGGGAUAACACUUCGAAAGGAGUGCUAAUACCCGGUAUGGCGCAGCGGUCUUCGGAUCGCGGCGAGAAAGACCCGCAAGGGUUGCCAGAGGACGAGCCUGCGGCCCAUCAGCUAGUUGGCGAGGUAACGGCUCACCAAGGCGAAGACGGGUAGCUGGUCUGAGAGGAUGAUCAGCCACACUGGAACUGAGACACGGUCCAGACUCCUACGGGAGGCAGCAGUGGGGAAUAUUGCGCAAUGGGCGAAAGCCUGACGCAGCCACGCCGCGUGAGCGAUGAAGGCC
RNAcentral lists this ribosomal RNA (391 nucleotides) under uncultured bacterium. Its description in RNAcentral is "bacterial SSU rRNA". It matches the Rfam family "Bacterial small subunit ribosomal RNA", at positions 29 to 416 of the family's 1533-position model. The record is from RNAcentral.